UCAAGACUGAAAGACCGUUGGAGACCAUCGAGUUAUAUCAAGCCUACUCUCACUCCGGGCGAGGGUACCCCUAUUCAAAGUGAUUGAGGGGCUUGCUGCAGCAUCUCCUCAGAAGAUAGAAACUACUGCACAAUGUUGAGCAGGAAAACAGAAGAACCAACAGAUUUCAGAGAAUUAUGAGGACUGCAUCCCAAUCUUUGGUUACUACUUCUCUUGAAGCAUUGUCCCCUUAAAUCACUCUCCAGCUUUACCCUUUCUCUGAUAUCAAAGCAAUAACCUCGAUUAUGCUUACCCCUCCUAGAAAUCAUCCAGUACAAUUUUUUGUUUUAUGGUUCCUGUCAUGUCCUCUUACUUCCCUCCCCCAUUACAGAAAUUAACAGUAAUUGUUGGGUAAUUAAGUCGUCUACGGGGUAUAAAAUACACAGAAGAGGAUUUGGUUUUGCUUGUCUGGCUUCCUGAAACUUGUGAGUUGAUACUGGCGUAUGAAGCACAGUGAAAAUUCCAUGGACUGCUUGUGAGUAAUAGCAAGAACACCUCAUCAAAUACUGGUCCUGUUUUGUAGUGGCAGUACAUUGACCAGCCCCCCCAGGUGGUUUUCUAAUAAACACUUUCCCCGGAGAGCACAGUCAACAUCUGCCCACUUAGUUUGCAAUUCUCCGUGUAGACUGCUCUCAGACUUCCUCAGGCGGCAUCCCCUAGCCCAUCCUUUCUACGGGGGUACUAUAAUGUGGGUGCUCACCAAGUUUCAGACCAGGCUACUUUUUGAUGACAAUGAAGCCAUUUAUAGGGGCUUCCAAAAGUCCCAUGGUCGUGCUCCACUCCCAGACCUUUCAUCACUGAGAUGUUUUUCCUUUGAGAAAAAUCAUGUUUAAAAGGAUCCAUCACAAUACCAACCAGUAUAUACUGAAAUACUUAUUAAGUGUUGGGCACGACAUGAAAAUGUUUUACAGAAGGAAGUUCUUAACCCAAUUUUUCAGCCAAGGCAAAUGAAACAGGUUAAAUAAUUUUCACUAAGUUAAAUAGCUAGUAAGUGGCAGAGCUGAGCCUUAGAUUUCGAUUUGUCUUAAUACAAAAGCUGUCCCCUUAACCACUAUAGUUCCCCACCUCCCAGUUAUGUCAAGAUACCAGUGAUGGUCUGGGUAAAAAAUAAAAAUAAUACUCCAAUAUCUUUACUUCAAAUGUAGAAGGCUUGGGAUUGUUCUGCUUAUGCACAUGCAAAGACCCAAAGGGAAAUGGUGUGAUUCUCUGUUUUCAAAAAAAAAAAAAAAAAAAAAUGCAACAGGAAGGAAAAUAAGUUAGAAUCAUGCAGCUAAAUCAGCAACCCCUAAAGCAAGCGAAGCCGGGUUUGAAGAUUAGUACAGCCUUAGAGUUUUGGUGUAUUCACUGAACAAAAAGUCUCUUAAAAUUUGUCUUUGGUUUGCUCAUCCCCAACUCCCAUCCCCCUUCCAUCACCAUUAAAAUAUUUUUUCCAUUUGAAAUAUUAGAUUAGGUAACUGGCAUGUCUGAGUAAUCCCAAAUGCCUAAUAAAUGAUUACACAAGAAUUUAUUUGGAAUUACCUCAGAGUCCUCUCUCUGAACUUCAAGUAAUCUCUGCCAAUGUGUCUUCUUUCCUUAAGCAUUUUCCAUUUAUUUCAUAUUUUUAUCACCCCAAUGGUGACUUUUAAUUUAUGAAUAUCAUAUGUGGAGAAGAAUUUGGAUUUGUUUUUUGUGGGUUUUUUUGCCUAUAUUAAAAAAAAUCUGCAUUUGCUUAAAAACAACUUUUACUAGUGACAACUCUGGAGCAAAAGUAUGUUAUCUAUCCCAACAAGUUCUGACAGGUCAAGAUUUCUGUUAAACUUUCUAUGAGUCUCUGAAAAGAGUCACCAAAAAUUCUGGGCAGCGUUUAGAGAAAAAUAAAUUGGGCCGUCAGUGAGUAUUACCUUACUGCCCGGGAAUGGGGUACUUUCAGCUUUCUGCUGGUCCACUGUAGUCCCUGCAACUUCCAACUGGUAACAUGUUGGUAAAGCAUAAGCUGCAGAAAAUUAAGGUAUAACUUCUAGAAAGACAUUCACAAAUAUGUAGAAAUAAAUGUAUUUGCCCUCUGACUCUUC
Molecule: non-coding RNA, 2090 nt
Organism: Equus caballus (horse)
Lineage: Eukaryota; Metazoa; Chordata; Mammalia; Perissodactyla; Equidae
Source: RefSeq, a predicted model, not a curated record